GUUUUGCAAUAUAACCCAAAAGUUGAGGUUAAUUGCUUUAUGGCCCAAAAGUUGUGGUUAUUGCAUAUUGGCCCAAAUUAGGUAGAGAACAAAAUUGUUUUGUCUCUUUAAAUGAGAAUUGGAUUUUCAUUUUGUUUAGCUCCAUUUAAAUCAAUUUUAUGGAUACAAAAACCAAAUGAAAAAUGUUGCAUUCAAUUUAAUUAGUUAAUGUGUUAAUUAAUUAAAGGGUGAUUAUGAACCUAAGCCUAAUAUAAUUGAGCUAUGUGAAAGGCCGUUUCAAAUUU
RNAcentral lists this long non-coding RNA (284 nucleotides) under Malus domestica (apple). RNAcentral's name for it is "long non-coding RNA (MDOM_LNC018013)". Lineage: Eukaryota; Viridiplantae; Streptophyta; Magnoliopsida; Rosales; Rosaceae. The record is from RNAcentral.